GACGAACGCUGGCGGCGUGCUUAACACAUGCAAGUCGAGCGGUAAGGCCCUUUCGGGGGUACACGAGCGGCGAACGGGUGAGUAACACGUGGGUGACCUGCCCUCAGCUCUGGGAUAAGCCCGGGAAACUGGGUCUAAUACCGGAUAUGACUUCAUGACGCAUGUUGUGGAGUGGAAAGCCUUGUGCGGCUGAGGAUGGGCCCGCGGCCUAUCAGCUUGUUGGGGGGUGAUGGCCUACCAAGGCGACGACGGGUAGCCGGCCUGAGAGGGCGACCGGCCACACUGGGACUGAGAUACGGCCAGACUCUACGGGAGGCAGCAGUGGGAAUCUUGCGCAAUGGGCGAAAGCCUGACGCAGCGACGCCGCGUGAGGGAUGAC
Molecule: ribosomal RNA, 379 nt
Filed under: uncultured bacterium
Lineage: Bacteria
Description: bacterial SSU rRNA
Rfam family: Bacterial small subunit ribosomal RNA
Source: RNAcentral